UACCGGCGGCUCGAGUGGUGGCCGAUAUUAUUGAGUCUAAAGGGUCCGUAGCCGGCUUCGCAAGUCCCUCGGGAAAUCCGGCGGCUUAACCGUUGGGCUUCUGGGGGCGACUGCGUUGCUUGGGACUGGGAGAGGCGGGAGGUACUCAGGGGGUAGGAGUGAAAUCCUGUAAUCCUUUGGGGACCACCGGUGGCGAAGGCGUCCCGCCAGAACAGGUCCGACGGUGAGGGACGAAAGCUAGGGGC
RNAcentral lists this ribosomal RNA (245 nucleotides) under uncultured archaeon. Its description in RNAcentral is "partial 16S ribosomal RNA". It matches the Rfam family "Archaeal small subunit ribosomal RNA", at positions 474 to 718 of the family's 1478-position model. The record is from RNAcentral.